AUAUAUGGUAAUAACUCGUCACCAUGUAAUAUGAUCACAUCAGAUAGCAAUUGUGCAAAAUUUAGUAAAAUGCAGGUUUCUACAGUGCAUAUGCUAUUAGCAAAGAAACAACACAGCCUGAAUUGGUCUACCCUGAAAGCACAUAGGAGAUGGAACUAGCACCCCUCCACCAUCCCACCGCUAAAAAGACAAAGAUGAAAGCACAAGUAUGCCAAAACUUUUCAGCUGUAUCCCACUUGCUGCUGCUGCUGCUGCUGCUGCUGCU
This 265-nucleotide unclassified non-coding RNA is filed under the name Hevea brasiliensis (rubber tree). Lineage: Eukaryota; Viridiplantae; Streptophyta; Magnoliopsida; Malpighiales; Euphorbiaceae. The record is from RNAcentral.